This 454-nucleotide ribosomal RNA is filed under the name uncultured Paraprevotella sp. RNAcentral describes it as "partial 16S ribosomal RNA". It matches the Rfam family "Bacterial small subunit ribosomal RNA", at positions 341 to 792 of the family's 1533-position model. The record is from RNAcentral. Lineage: Bacteria; Pseudomonadati; Bacteroidota; Bacteroidia; Bacteroidales; Prevotellaceae.
ACGGGAGGCAGCAGUGAGGAAUAUUGGUCAAUGGGCGAGAGCCUGAACCAGCCAAGUAGCGUGAAGGAUGACGGCCCUACGGGUUGUAAACUUCUUUUGCCGGGGGAUAAAAAACGGGACGUGUCCCGUCUUGCAGGUACCCGUGCGAAUAAGGACCGGCUAAUUCCGUGCCAGCAGCCGCGGUAAUACGGAAGGUCCGAGCGUUAUCCGGAUUUAUUGGGUUUAAAGGGUGCGUAGGCGGGAAGUCAAGUCAGCCGUAAAAUCGCCGGGCUCAACCCGGUCCCGCGGUUGAAACUGUCUUCCUUGAGUACACUAGAGGGCGAUGGAAUUCGUGGUGUAGCGGUGAAAUGCAUAGAUAUCACGAAGAACUCCGAUUGCGUAGGCAGUCGCCUGGGGUGCCACUGACGCUGAGGCACGAAGGUGCGGGUAUCAAACAGGAUUAGAUACCCUGGUA